AACGAACGCUGGCGGCAUGCCUAACACAUGCCAGUCGAACGAAACCUUCGGGUCUAGUGGCGCACGUGUGCUUAACGCGGGGUAACCUGCCCUUAGGUUCGGUAUAACUCCCUGAAAGGGAUGCUAAUACCGGAUAAGGUCUUCGGACCAAAGAUUUAUCGCCUUUGGAUGGGCCCGCGUUGGAUUAGCUGGUUGGUAGGGUAAAAGCCUACGAAGGGGACGAUCGAUAGCUGGUCUGAGAGGAUGAUCAGCCACACUGGGACUGAGACACGGGCCAGACUCGUGCGGGAGGAAGCAGUGGGGAAUAUUGGACGAUGGGAGAAAGCUUGAGCCAGCACUGCCGCGUGAGGGAGGAAGGCGUGAGGGAUGUAGAGUUCUUUUACCAGGGAUGAUAAGGACAGUAACGGGAGAAUAAGCCCCGGCUAACUCCGUG
RNAcentral lists this ribosomal RNA (433 nucleotides) under uncultured bacterium. Its description in RNAcentral is "partial 16S ribosomal RNA". It matches the Rfam family "Bacterial small subunit ribosomal RNA", at positions 29 to 507 of the family's 1533-position model. The record is from RNAcentral.